Molecule: ribosomal RNA, 250 nt
Filed under: uncultured prokaryote
Description: partial 16S ribosomal RNA
Rfam family: Bacterial small subunit ribosomal RNA
Source: RNAcentral
UACGUAGGUGGCGAGCGUUAUCCGGAAUUACUGGGUGUAAAGGGUGUGUAGGCGGGAAGCCAAGUCAGAUGUGAAGAUCACGGGCUCAACCCGUGACCUGCGUCUGAAACUGGUUUUCUUGAGAGUGGGAGAGGUAAACGGAAUUCCUGGUGUAGCGGUGAAAUGCGUAGAUAUCAGGAGGAACACCGGUGGCGAAGGCGGUUUACUGGACCACAACUGACGCUGAGACACGAGAGCGUGGGGAGCAAAC